UACGUAGGUCCCGAGCGUUGUCCGGAUUUAUUGGGCGUAAAGCGAGCGCAAGUGGUUUAUUAAGUCUGGUGUAAAAGGCAGUGGCUCAACCAUUGUAUGCAUUGGAAACUGGUAGACUUGAGUGCAGGAGAGGAGAGUGGAAUUCCAUGUGUAGCGAUGAAAUGCGUAGAUAUAUGGAGGAACACCGGUGGCGAAAGCGGCUCUCUGGCCUGUAACUGACACUGAGGCUCGAAAGCGUGGGGAGCAAACAGG
This 252-nucleotide ribosomal RNA is filed under the name uncultured bacterium. Its description in RNAcentral is "partial 16S ribosomal RNA". It matches the Rfam family "Bacterial small subunit ribosomal RNA", at positions 524 to 776 of the family's 1533-position model. The record is from RNAcentral.